AGCCUUAAGAAUUAUUUAAGGUCUAGCCUGCCCAAUGUUUACAAUGAAUGGCCGCAGUACCUUAACUGUGCGAAGGUAGCAUAAUCAGUUGGCUUUUAAAUGGAGUCUUGUAUGAAAGGAGUGACGUGGUAAAACUGUCUCGACUUUGUUUUAUUUAAUUUACUUAGAAGGUGAAAAAUCCUUCGACUAGAAAAAAGACGAGAAGACCCUUAGAGUUUUAAUGAAAGUUUAUAGUAUAAACCGAAUUUUUGUUGGGGCGACAAGGAAACAAGUAACUUUCCUGUUUACUGGACGGUGUUUCAAGCAAGAUUAAACUACCUGAGGGAUAACAGCAUAAUUCUUUUGAGUUUGUGACCUCGAUGUUGGACUAGGAACUUACCAGACUAGCCGUCUGCUUUUGUGGCUCUGUUCGAGCCUCGUCUCCU
Molecule: ribosomal RNA, 425 nt
Filed under: Siphonaria sp. UF 341298
Lineage: Eukaryota; Metazoa; Mollusca; Gastropoda; Siphonariida; Siphonariidae
Also listed under: 1 other name
Description: partial 16S ribosomal RNA
Rfam family: Bacterial large subunit ribosomal RNA
Source: RNAcentral